Rhineura floridana is the source of this 339-nucleotide long non-coding RNA. RefSeq lists it as uncharacterized. NCBI's taxonomy places the organism in Eukaryota, Metazoa, Chordata, Lepidosauria, Squamata, Rhineuridae. The transcript has 3 exons. The record is from RefSeq and is a predicted model, not a curated record.
ACUAGUAUCAAGCUACAGUGUUUAAAGAAGUGAAUGUCAUAUUUCUUUGGAUAUCGUUAUAUUCAAUUUUUGUUGAAGUCAUAUUAGUAAUUCCUUUGGUUAUCGCAUUAUAUUCAAUUUUUGUUGAAAGUCAUAUCAGUAGCCAUUGAAAAAGACAACUGUCGAAACGCGUCUGGCUGGACACUUUUUAACAAAAUUUCUUUCUCUUUUAUCUAUAAAAGAAACGGACCAUUUGAACAAAAUGUGUACACGUCAGAUACAUUCUUCAUGAUGUAUACUGUUUUAGUUACAUACUUUUGAAAAUUACAGUAUUAUGUUUGUCAUUGUUUGACUUUUGUA